AAUCUCUAGAAGUCACUGCAAAGAGCUGCACAUGGAGAUUCAUGAGUGUGGAAUCAGUCAACAAACUAUGGUGGAGGGUCUUCUGCUUCUUCAAAUGCAAAGGGUUCCAAGAAGAAUAAGAAGAGUAGUGAUUUGAAAUAUGACAUUUUUGGAUGGAUAAUCCUUGUAGUUGGAAUUGUUACAUUGGUGGGAAUGGCAAGAUCCCAUGGUUCUCCACCUUCAAGAUAAGCCAUAAAGUAAAUGCCAAAUGCUUUUGGGUGUUGAUCAAACAAUUCUGACAGGAUGUCACGUAGUUGAUUGAGUUCUGCAUUUUUAUCGAAGGUGGUCAUUGUAACUGAACUGCUCUUGGUGUUAGGCUAGCAGCAGGAUUCUUCUUGUAUAAUCUUGAAGUUCACAUAUAGUGUGUGGUGAAUCUUGUUACAUAUGACGAUGUGGAAUAUAUUUCUAAGAGGCAGUGGAGAUCAAAUUCAAGGAUUAUCUAAGCUACUUCAGGACCAGGCCCACCACUUUCUCUUAAAUCUUAAUGGAAUCAAGUGCUGGAUAAAGCUGGCAAAUUCAGAGUGGAUGCCUUUCUAUUAGUGAAACAAAUCUCAAAGAGAAUGAGAGAGAUAUGUUCUUUAAAACACCAGAUAGUGGGAACAAAUUCCUAGAUAUGUUGUUAGGAAGUAGCAUGAUAAUGUUAAAUUAAUAGAAGUUUACAAGGCAUUCCACUUUGAUUAGUUUUUAUAAGGAUUUCUUG
Molecule: long non-coding RNA, 739 nt
Organism: Hevea brasiliensis (rubber tree)
Lineage: Eukaryota; Viridiplantae; Streptophyta; Magnoliopsida; Malpighiales; Euphorbiaceae
Exons: 4
Source: RefSeq, a predicted model, not a curated record